RNAcentral lists this ribosomal RNA (200 nucleotides) under uncultured bacterium. RNAcentral describes it as "partial 16S ribosomal RNA". It matches the Rfam family "Bacterial small subunit ribosomal RNA", at positions 8 to 225 of the family's 1533-position model. The record is from RNAcentral.
AGAGUUUGAUCCUGGCUCAGGAUAAACGCUGGCGGCGUGCCUAACACAUGCAAGUCGAACGCUCUGCGCAAGCAGAGAGUGGCGGACGGGUGAGGAACACGUGGGUCAUCUACCUUUGGGUGAGGAAUACCGGCGAGAAAUCGCCGACAAUACCGCAUAGGUUUGGCGACAAACAAAGCCUCUUCGGAGGUGCCUGAAGA